AAGUCGUAACAAGGUAACCGUAGGUGAACCUGCGGUUGGAUCAUUACCGAUUCUGCCUUUCGAGGCACCCACACCUGUGAACUGUGCUGUUUCUUGGGUGUUUCUGUGUCUCAGGACGCGGGAAUGCCCAGCAGUCUAACCACUGAAUCUUGGCUGAGAUUGAAGUUUAAAUAGUAACAACUUUUGACAACGGAUCUCUUGGCUCUC
Molecule: unclassified non-coding RNA, 207 nt
Filed under: fungal sp.
Lineage: Eukaryota; Fungi
Description: partial internal transcribed spacer region
Rfam family: Eukaryotic small subunit ribosomal RNA (bases 1-46)
Source: RNAcentral